RNAcentral lists this long non-coding RNA (374 nucleotides) under Rattus norvegicus (Norway rat). Its description in RNAcentral is "long non-coding RNA NONRATT009100". Lineage: Eukaryota; Metazoa; Chordata; Mammalia; Rodentia; Muridae. The record is from RNAcentral.
UCAGGUACAGACUUUAGAGCCAGGUCUCACCUGCUCUACCUAAGCGAGCAAACUGCGAAGAAGCUCUGGUUUGAAAGGGCUGCUGCUGCGUGACCCCCACGGCCGUGACAGCUCUCUUCUGUGAGGACCCCUGAGUGAACAAGAUGCCAUCCCGCCCACUUUCUACAGACCCUACUUCAGAAUCGUCCGCUUCGAUGUCUCAACAAUGGAGAAGAAUGCUUCAAAUCUGGUGAAGGCAGAGUUCAGGGUCUUUCGCUUGCAGAACCCCAAGGCCAGAGUGGCUGAACAACGGAUUGAACUGUAUCAGAUCCUUAAAUCCAAAGACCUAACAUCUCCAACCCAGCGCUACAUUGAUAGCAAGGUUGUGAAAACCA